Molecule: ribosomal RNA, 161 nt
Filed under: uncultured Hydrogenobacter sp.
Lineage: Bacteria; Pseudomonadati; Aquificota; Aquificia; Aquificales; Aquificaceae
Description: partial 16S ribosomal RNA
Rfam family: Bacterial small subunit ribosomal RNA
Source: RNAcentral
UGGGGAAUCGUGGGCAAUGGGCGAAAGCCUGACCCCGCGACGCCGCGUGGAGGAAGAAGCCCUUCGGGGUGUAAACUCCUGUCAGGGGGGAAGAUGCUCACAGAGGUGAAUAAUCUCUGUGGGUGACGGUACCCCCAGAGGAAGGGACGGCUAACUACGUG